GAUCCUGAAGCCGGUCAAGUGCCACUGGACUUCAUUUACUGUCUUCUCUGCCUUCUACUGGCCUUAGGGGAAAAAAAAAGUGAGGUCAUAUUUGAUGUCCUUUUCUUUGGCUGGAAACCUGAACUGGUCUUUGGAAAUACAAGGUCUUAACAAGGAUGGUGUAUGCUUUGGACUUUGGCAUUUCCAUGAUGAGUUUAGGACUUUGGCUCCUUCCCAGACUGUACAUGCUGAGACCUUGGGGAACACGGCUUCCAGUCAAUGUGCCUGGAUCUCCUCUCUUCUCUUCUGCCUGUCCCUGCCAGCCCUCCUUCACUCCAGACUCCCUGUCAGCCCUCCCUCACCUCCAGACUCCCUGUCAGCCCUCCCUCACUUCCAGACCCAAAAGAAGGUCAGCUGCAAUAAGGACUGACUGACUUGGGAUGGGAAGGGCAAAACUGAAUUGAAGCAAGAGUUCUACUUCAGCAUCUGGUGCACAGAUUUAGUAACUUUAGUGAAAUUAAAAACCAAGACAAAACAAAUGCAGAGCCUAUAUUACAAGAUUUGUUAUAGGAUCCUUAAUUUAUCUGCUUGGCUUUUGAUGAAAUUGUUUUUUUUUUUUCUUGCACUGAAAUGUAUAAUGUCCUCUACUAGUUAAGCUCUGGAAUCUUUUCCAGUCAACUUCCUCCCUCUGGGAUGUAAUAAAGAGACAACUUAUGACCCAAAAGCAUGUGGGAGACAAAUUUUCCAUGGGAAAAAAAAAGGUUUUUACUAUAUGUUAUGUUUCUCAAAGGAAAGGGGGUCAAAACAUAGAUAACAAUCCUCUGUAACCACUUACUGAAUACCAGAUUUGUUUUGAGAAUAGUAAAAUGUAGUUUGUUAUUUUUGAAAAGAUGAGUAUUUUGUCACAGAUGUUUUAAUUUCUAUAACAUCCAUGUGUAAAUUAGAAUAAAGAAGAAAUUAAAAUUAGCUACUGUAUCUGCAUAUUCUAUUUCCUCCCCAAAAAAGGGUGAGCAAAGAGAUACAGAGUGUCAUAUAGGUGGAAGCAGACCUCGUCUGUCUGGGGGUCAGAUGACUGAAGACUUUUAUCCUUGACCCGCCACUUCCUAGUGUGACCUUGAGCUCAGCCUCACUCUCCUAAGAUGUGAAAUGGGAACAAUUAUACUCCCAAGAAUGUUUGUGAGAAAUAAAUAAUUUGUGCAAAAUACUUGGCUCUAGCACGAAUUCAACACAUGAUAGUUGAUAAUAUAACUCAACACAGGAUUGUCAAAGUUCUAAUAGUUUUAAUGGCAUUUGAUUACCUAAAGGAAAUGUGAUAUUAUUCAAAGUCUACAUUAGUAUUUAUAUAAAUCUCAUAAAGAUAAAUGUUCGGCAUUCAUCAAUGGAUGUCAUCGAGGAAGGCAAUAACAAUUCAAGACAAUUCAGAUUUAUAUUUAUCAGAAUUUGGACUAAUUAUUGAAAAUAGUUUGUGUUUAAGUUGGUCUUAUUAUGAUAUUAAAGCCAUCAUGUCAAGGAAACUAUUUUGUUUGGGUGAUAUUACUUAGAUACUAAACAAUUGGUCAGAUAAUGCCCUAAGUUUACUUCAGGAGUCAGAAAAUUCCAUUUAAAAAAUUGUUUAAAAGCAAAUUUGAGUUAUAGGGUAAAUAUAUUUAUGAGCUGUAAGUAUAAUAUGAAAACUUUAAAUAUUGCUACAUGUAAACUUCUUUGUCUCUUUAUAACUGAGCCAAUUUCUCUUUCCCAAAACUGCUAUGCUAGGAGGUAGAAAUGAGACCUCUAGCUAAUCUCAGCUGAUUUAGUCUUCUCCCGUGCCUACCCCCUAUACUUUUCUCACUGGGCUGGCAUCCACAUGGUAGGCAGGUGGCAUUUGCUGCUAAGCCACAGUCACCUCUCCUGCUGGCUCCCUCUGAGGUGGAAGUCAUUGUGGGAUCUGUGAUCAAACAUUUGAGGUGCAGGCCUGCUUCAGUUCUGCAGUCCCACAGAAGCAAACUAAGUGUCCAUCAAUGGAUGAAUGGAUAAAGAUGUGAUACGUAUACACAAUGGGAACCUGCUCAGCCACAGAAAAGAACAAAACAAUGCCAUUUGCGGCAAUACUGAUGGAUCUAGAGAUUAUCGUACUAAGUAAAGGAAGUCAGAAAGAGAAAGACAAAUAUCAUAUGAUGUCACUUAUAUGUGGAAUCCAAAAUAUGGUAUUAUUUACAAAACGGAAGCUGACUCACAGACAUAAAAAUCAAGCUUAUGGUUACCAAAGGGAAAAUGGGGUAGGGAAGGGAUAAAUUAGGAAUUUGGGACUAGCAGAUACACACUACUAUAUAUAAAAUAGAUAACAAGGUCCUACUAUAUAGCAAGGGAACUAUAUUCAAUAUUCUGUAAUAAACCAAAGCGGGAACUAAUAUGAAAAAGAAUUCUGAAUAUAUAUAUAUCAGAAUCACUUUGCUGUACACCAGAAACUAACACAGCAUUGUAAAUUAACUAUACUUAAAAAAAUUUUUUUUAAAAAUCUUCAGUCUCAGAGCUCGAGUUGUGGCUCAGCAGUUAAUGAAUCUGACUAGUAUCCACGAGGACGCAGGUUUGAUCCCUGGCCUUGCUCAGUGGGUUAAGGAUCUGGCGUUGCCAUGAGCUAUGGUGUAGGUCACAGACAUAGCUUGGAUCCAGCAUUGCUGUGGCUGUGGUGUAGGCUGGCAGCUGUAGCUCCCAUUAACC
RNAcentral lists this long non-coding RNA (2676 nucleotides) under Sus scrofa (pig). Its description in RNAcentral is "lncRNA (ENSSSCG00060044402.1)". The record is from RNAcentral. Lineage: Eukaryota; Metazoa; Chordata; Mammalia; Artiodactyla; Suidae.